ACCAGUCUAAUUAGCCUCCAAAAUACCCAAAAUCGAGAAAAAUUGUAAACAACAAUUUUAUUGCAGAAAAUGGUUCGGUAGGUCAUUGGAAAUGAAACAUAUGAGUUUGAAACUCAUAAAAAGUUGAGCGUCAUUGUUUCAAAAAGAUAUAAACGAGCUUUUCGCAUAUGAAAAGAAAUGUAAUAAUUUUUCAGAAAAAGGAUUCUAUUGCGGAAUAUAGCCAUUGGAAAGAUCUGCAAAAUAAUAUCCAUAAAGUUAAAAUCGAUCGAUACGUUAACUUGCAACAAAACAAAAAACCGGUAACAUUUUCUUAAAGAUUCUCUAAUUAUAGCAUUAUAACGAAAAUUGCAUAUUUAAGAAAUUUAAAUUAUAUGACAUUUGUUAUUGUCACGUAAAAUGUCAUUUAUGUCAUUUAUGUCAUAUAUAAAUAGUGAACAAGAAAUAUAAAAAAUAAGAAACCAAAAAACUAAAAAUUUUGAGCUUGAAUAUAAUUUUUGAAAGAAUUGAUUGUAUUAUCUGUCAAUACCUCAUUGAGCUGCCCCAGAUUUUUAAAAAUCAUCGUUUUACGUCAAUUUAUUGCUGAGAUAAUGUAGGUACCAGCAGUUUGAUUCAAUUUUAAUUCGCAAAUUCAAUUUUAGACGUGUUCGCAGAUAGACCGACGCAUGUCGCCACUGUUCCCACUGCGCAACUGCUCGCUAUCUCGUCCGUAUACUGGAAUUUCAUGACUUAUUAAAGUUAAAGCAGGUUUUCUGAAAUAAUUCAUUCGAAAAUUGAAGGGCAAUUAAUUCCAUUGUUUUACACUUUGUGAAAUUUUUAGCUCUUAUUGUUAAGAAUUACUUUUUUGAAAGAAAAAAGUUAUCUCAUGAAAGAAAACUUUUCUGUAAAUUCGUAGGAAAGAAACAUAUUUAUUUUCCAGAACCAUUUUUAGAUGAUUUAAUUUAGAAAUAUUACUUCAUUUCAAAAUGUAUACGAUAGUGCAAGUAUUAAAGAAUAGAAAGCAUGCUCAUAGCUUACUAUGCAACUUAUCAAAGGCGGAAACGAUCGACACAUCAAGCAUAAAAAGAAGAUUAAAAAGGAAACACCCAACAGAUCUCACAAAGGACAUAACCUAACAAACACGAUGAUGGUACCCCGCUGGGGGUAGCCACCCACAUGUUAUAUUAGUAUACAGCUACAACAUUUUACCAAAUGUCCUACUGGACAAAUUGUAAAAUCCAAAUAAAUAAAUAAAAAAAAUUAAAAAAAAAAA
Molecule: long non-coding RNA, 1249 nt
Organism: Bombus huntii
Lineage: Eukaryota; Metazoa; Arthropoda; Insecta; Hymenoptera; Apidae
Exons: 2
Source: RefSeq, a predicted model, not a curated record